RNAcentral lists this ribosomal RNA (253 nucleotides) under uncultured bacterium. RNAcentral's name for it is "partial 16S ribosomal RNA". It matches the Rfam family "Bacterial small subunit ribosomal RNA", at positions 524 to 776 of the family's 1533-position model. The record is from RNAcentral.
UACAGAGGGGGCAAGCGUUGUUCGGAAUUACUGGGCGUAAAGCGUGCGCAGGCGGUUUUGUAAGCCAGAUGUGAAAGCCCCGGGCUUAACCUGGGAAUGGCAUUUGGGACUGCAAGGCUUGAGUGCGGCAGAGGAGACUGGAAUUCCUGGUGUAGCAGUGAAAUGCGUAGAGAUCAUGAGGAAGACCAGUGGCGAAGGCGGGUCUCUGGACAGUUCCUGACACUGAGACACGAAGGCCAGGGGAGCAAACGGG